CUCUCUCUCUCUCUCUCUCUCUCUCUGGCGUUUCUUUAUUCCCUAAUCUAAAUCUCCCAUCUCAAGCAGUCCCACCACAAAAAUGUUUCAGCGCAGAUUCGUAAUAGAAGCAUCGGAAGCCGAAUCGAUGGCCAAAGAAUCAGGUCUUGCAGUUCUCCAGCUUCUUCCUUCCCUAGUUAAAGAGGCCCGGUCCUUGGCCUGCACGCCCAUCUCCAACUACCACGUCGGUGUCGUUGGCCUUGGAUCCUCCGGCCGCAUCUUUUUU
This 265-nucleotide unclassified non-coding RNA is filed under the name Hevea brasiliensis (rubber tree). The record is from RNAcentral. Lineage: Eukaryota; Viridiplantae; Streptophyta; Magnoliopsida; Malpighiales; Euphorbiaceae.